This 469-nucleotide ribosomal RNA is filed under the name uncultured bacterium. RNAcentral's name for it is "partial 16S ribosomal RNA". It matches the Rfam family "Bacterial small subunit ribosomal RNA", at positions 28 to 507 of the family's 1533-position model. The record is from RNAcentral.
GACGAACGCUGGCGGCGUGCUUAACACAGGCAAGUCGAACGGUGAAGCGAGUGCUUGCACUCGUGGAUCAGUGGCGAACGGGUGAGUAACACGUGAGUAACCUGCCCAUCACUCUGGGAUAAGCACUGGAAACGGUGUCUAAUACUGGAUACGACCAACCCUUGCAUGGGGUGUUGGUGGAAAGAUUUAUCGGUGAUGGAUGGACUCGCGGCCUAUCAGCUUGUUGGCGGGGUAAUGGCCCACCAAGGCGACGACGGGUAGCCGGCCUGAGAGGGUGACCGGCCACACUGGGACUGAGACACGGCCCAGACUCCUACGGGAGGCAGCAGUGGGGAAUAUUGCACAAUGGGCGAAAGCCUGAUGCAGCGACGCCGCGUGAGGGAUGACGGCCUUCGGGUUGUAAACCUCUUUCAGCAGGGAAGAAGCGAAAGUGACGGUACCUGCAGAAGAAGCACCGGCUAACUACGUG